GCGAGAGUGGCGGAAUUGGUAGACGCGCUAGCUUCAGGUGUUAGUGUUCUUACGGACGUGGGGGUUCAAGUCCCCCCUUUCGCACCA
Molecule: transfer RNA, 87 nt
Filed under: Proteus mirabilis
Lineage: Bacteria; Pseudomonadati; Pseudomonadota; Gammaproteobacteria; Enterobacterales; Morganellaceae
Also listed under: 4 other names
Description: tRNA-Leu
Rfam family: tRNA
About the family: Transfer RNA (tRNA) molecules are approximately 80 nucleotides in length. Their secondary structure includes four short double-helical elements and three loops (D, anti-codon, and T loops). Further hydrogen bonds mediate the characteristic L-shaped molecular structure. tRNAs have two regions of fundamental functional importance: the anti-codon, which is responsible for specific mRNA codon recognition, and the 3' end, to which the tRNAs corresponding amino acid is attached (by aminoacyl-tRNA synthetases). tRNAs cope with the degeneracy of the genetic code in two manners: having more than one tRNA (with a specific anti-codon) for a particular amino acid; and 'wobble' base-pairing, i.e. permitting non-standard base-pairing at the 3rd anti-codon position.
Source: RNAcentral